This 492-nucleotide long non-coding RNA is filed under the name Vulpes vulpes (red fox). RNAcentral's name for it is "lncRNA (ENSVVUG00000028700.1)". The record is from RNAcentral. Lineage: Eukaryota; Metazoa; Chordata; Mammalia; Carnivora; Canidae.
CUGACACCUUGAAUGGGAUUCUGAACAGAAUUUGUGCAGAUGGGAUUAAAUAUCAUCCUGAAUUGAAUUGGGCCCUCAUCCUGUCCAGCCACUCUGGAAAUGUCUAGAUUUACUUCCUUCGCAUCGCCAGGUCCCAGGGGCUUCACUUCAUUCUCUUCCAUGACAUUUGGUGGUAGUGGGAUGGGCAACUUCAAAUCUACAUCCCCUUCUACUAAAAUGGUAAUGGCAGAAAAAUCACUACAAAGAGAAUUGUGGAGAAUGGUGAAGAAAGAGUAGAAGUUGAAGACAACGGCCAGUUAAAGUCCUUGACGAUAAAUGGAAAUGAGACCAACCAGAAUCCUGGGUAAGCUGUUUCCAAACAAAGGAACUUACUAUGAAAAUGCAUAGGGGUAUGAAUGGCAUAAAAAAGUGGACUGUAGUGGAUACUGUAGUGUUCUGCUUAGAAACCUCUUUGGGGCCCUGAAUACCCCUACCUCAGAUGCUGGACUAUCA